ACUGCUCAGUAACACGUGGAUAACCUGCCCUUGGGUCCGGCAUAACCCCGGGAAACUGGGGAUAAUUCCGGAUAACGCACAUAUGCUGGAAUGCUUUAUGCGUAAAAUGGAUUCGUCUGCCCAAGGAUGGGUCUGCGGCCUAUCAGGUAGUAGUGGGUGUAAUGUACCUACUAGCCUACAACGGGUACGGGUUGUGAGAGCAAGAGCCCGGAGAUGGAUUCUGAGACAUGAAUCCAGGCCCUACGGGGCGCAGCAGGCGCGAAAACUUUACAAUGCGGGAAACCGUGAUAAGGGGACACCGAGUGCCAGCAUCAUAUGCUGGCUGUCCAGGUGUGUAAAAUACACCUGUUAGCAAGGGCCGGGCAAGACCGGUGCCAGCCGCCGCGGUAACACCGGCGGCCCGAGUGGUGAUCGUGAUUAUUGGGUCUAAAGGGUCCGUAGCCGGUUUGGUCAGUCCUCCGGGAAAUCUGAUAGCUCAACUAUUAGGCUUUCGGGGGAUACUGCCAGGCUUGGAACCGGGAGAGGUAAGAGGUACUACAGGGGUAGGAGUGAAAUCUUGUAAUCCCUGUGGGACCACCUGUGGCGAAGGCGUCUUACCAGAACGGGUUCGACGGUGAGGGACGAAAGCUGGGGGCACGAACCGGAUUAGAUACCCGGGUAGUCCCAGCCGUAAACGAUGCUCGCUAGGUGUCAGGCAUGGCGCGACCGUGUCUGGUGCCGCAGGGAAGCCGUGAAGCGAGCCACCUGGGAAGUACGGCCGCAAGGCUGAAACUUAAAGGAAUUGGCGGGGGAG
Molecule: ribosomal RNA, 793 nt
Filed under: uncultured archaeon
Lineage: Archaea
Description: bacterial SSU rRNA
Rfam family: Archaeal small subunit ribosomal RNA
Source: RNAcentral